UACGUAGGGUGCGAGCGUUAAUCGGAAUUACUGGGCGUAAAGCGUGCGCAGGCGGUUUUGUAAGACAGAUGUGAAAUCCCCGGGCUUAACCUGGGAACUGCAUUUGUGACUGCGAGGCUAGAGUGUGUCAGAGGGGGGUGGAAUUCCACGUGUAGCAGUGAAAUGCGUAGAUAUGUGGAGGAACACCGAUGGCGAAGGCAGCCCCCUGGGAUAACACUGACGCUCAUGCACGAAAGCGUGGGGAGCAAACAGG
Molecule: ribosomal RNA, 253 nt
Filed under: uncultured bacterium
Lineage: Bacteria
Description: partial 16S ribosomal RNA
Rfam family: Bacterial small subunit ribosomal RNA
Source: RNAcentral